UACGUAGGGUGCAAGCGUUAAUCGGAAUUACUGGGCGUAAAGCGUGCGCAGGCGGUGAUGUAAGUCAGAUGUGAAAGCCCCGGGCUUAACCUGGGAACUGCAUUUGUGACUGCAUAGCUAGAGUGCGGCAGAGGGAGAUGGAAUUCCGCGUGUAGCAGUGAAAUGCGUAGAUAUGCGGAGGAACACCGAUGGCGAAGGCAAUCUCCUGGGCCUGCACUGACGCUCAUGCACGAAAGCGUGGGGAGCAAACAGG
RNAcentral lists this ribosomal RNA (253 nucleotides) under uncultured bacterium. Its description in RNAcentral is "partial 16S ribosomal RNA". It matches the Rfam family "Bacterial small subunit ribosomal RNA", at positions 524 to 776 of the family's 1533-position model. The record is from RNAcentral.